UACGAAGGGGGGCUAGCGUUGUUCGGAAUUACUGGGCGUAAAGGGCGCGUAGGCGGCGUGUCAAGUCAGGCGUGAAAGCCCCGGGCUCAACCUGGGAACCGCGCUUGAGACUGGCAUGCUCGAGUUCGGGAGAGGAUGGUGGAAUUCCCAGUGUAGAGGUGAAAUUCGUAGAUAUCGGGAGGAACACCAGUGGCGAAGGCGGCUCUCUGGGCAGAUACUGACGCUGAGACGCGAAAGCAUGGGGAGCAAACAGGGAUUAAGAAACCCUGGUAACG
This 275-nucleotide ribosomal RNA is filed under the name uncultured bacterium. Its description in RNAcentral is "partial 16S ribosomal RNA". It matches the Rfam family "Bacterial small subunit ribosomal RNA", at positions 524 to 793 of the family's 1533-position model. The record is from RNAcentral.